GUCUACGGCCAUACCACCCUGAAUGCUCCCGAUCUCAUCUGAUCUCGGAAGCUAAGCAGGGUUGGACCUGGUUAGUACUUGGAUGGGAAGUGAGGGCUCUCAAAAGCCUUUCGGUAGUGUAUCCA
Molecule: ribosomal RNA, 125 nt
Organism: Ursus americanus (American black bear)
Lineage: Eukaryota; Metazoa; Chordata; Mammalia; Carnivora; Ursidae
Source: Ensembl